UGGGGGAUAUUGCACAAUGGACGAAAGUCUGACGGAGCAACGCCGCGUGAGUGAAGACGGCCUUCGGGUUGUAAAGCUCUGUGAUCCGGGACGAAAGAGCCUGAGGUAAAUAGCCUAAGGAAGUGACGGUACCGGAAAAGCAAGCCACGGCUAACUACGUGCCAGCAGCCGCGGUAAUACGUAGGUGGCAAGCGUUGUCCGGAAUUAUUGGGCGUAAAGCGCGCGCAGGCGGCUUACUAAGUCCAUCUUAAAAGUGCGGGGCUUAACCCCGUGAUGGGAUGGAAACUGGAAAGCUGGAGUAUCGGAGAGGAAAGUGGAAUUCCUAGUGUAGCGGUGAAAUGCGUAGAGAUUAGGAAGAACACCGGUGGCGAAGGCGACUUUCUGGACGAAAACUGACGCUGAGGCGCGAAAGCGUGGGGAGCAAACAGG
Molecule: ribosomal RNA, 429 nt
Filed under: Fusobacteriota bacterium
Lineage: Bacteria; Fusobacteriati; Fusobacteriota
Description: Fusobacteria bacterium partial 16S ribosomal RNA
Rfam family: Bacterial small subunit ribosomal RNA
Source: RNAcentral